UACGAAGGGGGCUAGCGUUGCUCGGAAUCACUGGGCGUAAAGCGCACGUAGGCGGAUUGUUAAGUCAGGGGUGAAAUCCUGGAGCUCAACUCCAGAACUGCCUUUGAUACUGGCGAUCUUGAGUCCGGGAGAGGUGAGUGGAACUGCGAGUGUAGAGGUGAAAUUCGUAGAUAUUCGGAAGAACACCAGUGGCGAAGGCGACUCACUGGCCCGAUACUGACGCUGAGGCGCGAAAGCGUGGGGAGCGAACAGG
Molecule: ribosomal RNA, 253 nt
Filed under: uncultured bacterium
Lineage: Bacteria
Description: partial 16S ribosomal RNA
Rfam family: Bacterial small subunit ribosomal RNA
Source: RNAcentral